UUUAAUAAACACACGCCUUAUCCUGAGGGUGAAAAUGUAGCAUAAUCAUUUGGCAUUUAAUUGAUGUCUAGUAUGAAAGGUGAAACGACUUAUAUACUGUCUCAACUUUAAGGUUAAUGAAAUUAGAUUAAUAGUGAAAAUACUAUUAAAAUAAUAUAAGACGAGAAGUCCCUAUAAACUUUUACUAUAUAAUGGUGAUAAGAUUCUUAUGAAUAUAGUUUGACUGGGGCGGUCGUCUCUUAAAAGAACAGAGAUUAUUUUUAAUUAAAAAAACCUUUUUUUUUUUUUUUUUUUUAUUAAAUAUAUGUAUUUAAUAUUGUUAGAAAAUUAAAAUAAUGACCUCUUUUUAAUAUAACAAUUAAAAAACUAUAAAAAAUAAAAAGUACUUUAGGGAUAACAGCGUAAUUCUAUCUGGAGGUCUUAUCUAAGUAUAGUGUUUGCGACCUCGAUGUUGGCUUAAGAUAACCUGAAGGUGUAGAAGUUUCAAAG
This 489-nucleotide ribosomal RNA is filed under the name Botrynema brucei ellinorae. RNAcentral describes it as "partial large subunit ribosomal RNA". It matches the Rfam family "Bacterial large subunit ribosomal RNA", at positions 1919 to 2570 of the family's 2925-position model. Lineage: Eukaryota; Metazoa; Cnidaria; Hydrozoa; Trachymedusae; Halicreatidae. The record is from RNAcentral.